CAGAGGGUGCGAGCGUUGUUCGGAAUUACUGGGCGUAAAGCGCGCGCAGGCGGUCCCUUAAGUCUACCCGUGAAAUGCCGGAGCUCAACUCCGUGCACGCCGGGGGAUACUGGGGGACUGGAGACAUGUAGAGGCAAGCGGAAUUCCGGGUGUAGCGGUGGAAUGCGUAGAUAUCCGGAAGAACACCUGAGGCGAAGGCGGCUUGCUGGGCAUGAUCUGACGCUGAGGCGCGAAAGCGUGGGGAGCAAACAGGAUUAGAUACCCUGGUAGUCCACGCCGUAAACGAUGGGCACUAGACGCGGGUGGGAUCGACCCCUUCCGUGUCGCAGCUAACGCGAUAAGUGCCCCGCCUGGGGAGUACGGCCGCAAAGCUG
RNAcentral lists this ribosomal RNA (374 nucleotides) under uncultured organism. RNAcentral describes it as "bacterial SSU rRNA". It matches the Rfam family "Bacterial small subunit ribosomal RNA", at positions 526 to 896 of the family's 1533-position model. The record is from RNAcentral.